Molecule: long non-coding RNA, 526 nt
Filed under: Oryzias javanicus (javanese ricefish)
Lineage: Eukaryota; Metazoa; Chordata; Actinopteri; Beloniformes; Adrianichthyidae
Description: lncRNA (ENSOJAG00000011711.1)
Source: RNAcentral
CUUGUAGACUGAAGUUUGUGAGGAAAAGCUCACACGCUUGUAAACAGUAUCUCCUCAGGAAACAUUGAUAAAGCCUCUUAAGCACCUGCUUGGAUCCAACUGUUUAAAACGUUUACUGCCAGCAUUUUAGUUGGCCCACAGGUUUGGCUUGAAAUAGUUUCCCUGACCAACUAAGCAAGGUAUUCUUCAAGUCUCAAGGAUGAAAAUCAAGCACAGAUAAAAAGUCUAUCGUAGUCGUUUUGGUCCAGUUGUUCCGCUCUGUCAGAGAUGUCAGAGCGAACUGAAGCUCAGUUCGGUUGGCCCACAUCAAAAGAUGGGUCUGAGGGGUGUCCUGGUCCCGGACCUGGGUCCGCUUGAGUGUAUUCAGACUUCUGGAUUAUCGGGAGAAGGUGCCUGUCUGAAAGGCGCUGGGCACAAGGAAUGUGACAGAGGCAUAUUUCCGAGGCUGGUUGUGAAGGCGCUGGGUUGAGUCACGCUCCAGCAUUUUCUGCCCCAGUAAACUUAACCUACUUUACCCACUGCUGAG